CCCUCUCCUUCCUCCACUCCCCAGCAACCAUCGGCAUCAGCUUCUCCUUCUCUUCGUCCGUUACUCCCGUUGAAGCCCACGCACCUUGUUGCUUUCUCCCACCGCUUCUUCGGUCUCUCCCCUGUGCUGGUCCGCGCUCUCGUCAUGACGAACCACGCCGCCUUUGCUGCCGAGGACGCGGUCACCGCCGUGGCGGCGCCGGCGCAGCCGGGUCGCCAUUUCGCGUCGUUCCCGCCGCGGAGGGCGCGCGACUGCAGGAAGGCCGCCCUGGGCCGCAUGGAUCUCGCCACAUCGGGGGUGCUGAUGGCCGGGUCUCUGCUGGACUCGAUGAAGGCCUCCUCGCCCCGCCACGCCAUGUCCCCCGCCGGCGCCGACCAGGAGUGGAUCGAGAAGCACCCGUCAGCAUUGGAGUGGUUCGAGGGCGUGCUCGCGGCGGCCGAGGGGAAGCAGAUCGUCAUGUUCCUCGACUAUGACGGCACCCUUUCGCCGAUCGUCGAGGACCCCGAACGCGCCGUCAUGACUGAGGAGAUGAGGGAGGCGGUGAGGGGCGUCGCGCAGCAUUUCCCGACUGCCAUCGUGAGCGGGCGAUGCAGAGACAAGGUGUUCAACUUUGUGAAACUGGAGGAGCUGUACUACGCCGGGAGCCACGGCAUGGACAUCAAGGGCCCCACCAAAGUGUCUAACCACAAGGCAAAGGCUGACGAGGUUCUGUGCCAGCCGGCGACCAAGUUCCUGCCUGUCAUCCAGAAGGUGUAUGAGACGCUGACGGCGAAGAUGGAGUCCAUCCCGGGGGCCAUGGUGGAGAACAACAAGUUCUGCCUCUCGGUGCACUUCCGCUGCGUCGAGGAGGCGGAGUGGGACGCUCUGGGCAGGGAGGUGAGGGCGGUGCUGCACGACUACCCGAAACUCUGCCUCACGGAGGGGAGAAAGGUCCUCGAGAUCCGGCCCUCCAUCAAGUGGGACAAGGGAAACGCCCUCGAGUUCUUGCUUGAGUCUCUCGGCUUUGCUGGGCGUGGCGACGUUUUUCCGAUAUACAUCGGGGAUGACCGCACAGACGAGGAUGCGUUCGAGGUGCUGCACAACAUGGGGCAAGGCAUCGGGAUCCUCGUGACAAAGUUUCCAAAGGAGACUAGCGCAUCCUAUUCUCUGCGUGAGCCUGCUGAGUCAUUUUAUGCUUUCUAAAGUUAGCACGGCUAGCUACCUACCUACCUAAAGGAACUACCAUAUAUUGGCACUGUUGCAGUAGUAGAGCUAGCCGUUAGGUGCAUGACAUAUACUACAUGCUCUCGGACUGCUUCCCGGUAAAGGAGUUCCUGCGCAAGCUGGUGAAGAGCAGCGAGACAAAGAAGGGUUAAUUCAUCAGCUAGCAGCCUUCUAGCUCUAACUCAACAUGGAGAUCGAGCAGGCUAUAUAGCUAGCUAGUACAUCAAGUCUAGCUUGUUUCGUUUUUGGACUUGGUGUGUCUUUCGUUUCAUCUAGUAGAACAAUGCAUGCAUGCGUGUUGGUAUCGAUAUAUAAGAUCCAGAUCGAGCAGUGAUCCUUGCUAGGCCAGUAGGCCUUGGCUUUGAAGGUUUCUAUUACUGUAUCCUUCUCGCAAGGUCUUGUAAUUAGCCUUCCGUUAUUAGCUAUGACAGAAAUGGGUGUGACAAAGUAGCCCUCCUUUUUCUCACCCUGCACUAUAAUAGUUGUUCUAUUACUUAUUGCUUCA
Molecule: RNA transcript, 1708 nt
Organism: Triticum aestivum (bread wheat)
Lineage: Eukaryota; Viridiplantae; Streptophyta; Magnoliopsida; Poales; Poaceae
Gene name: trehalose 6-phosphate phosphatase RA3
Exons: 10
Source: RefSeq, a predicted model, not a curated record